CUACGUAUUCCUACAAAGCAGGGCCUUGUUUAAGACCCGUAGAACAAUUUUUGGAGGCUCUCAAGGAAUGGGGGCCA
RNAcentral lists this small nuclear RNA (77 nucleotides) under Toxocara canis (dog roundworm). RNAcentral's name for it is "SmY spliceosomal RNA". It matches the Rfam family "SmY spliceosomal RNA". Lineage: Eukaryota; Metazoa; Nematoda; Chromadorea; Rhabditida; Toxocaridae. The record is from Rfam by way of RNAcentral.